Molecule: ribosomal RNA, 274 nt
Filed under: uncultured bacterium
Lineage: Bacteria
Description: partial 16S ribosomal RNA
Rfam family: Bacterial small subunit ribosomal RNA
Source: RNAcentral
AUACGGAGGGUGCGAGCGUUAAUCGGAAUUACUGGGCGUAAAGCGUGCGUAGGCGGUUUGCUAAGUCAGAUGUGAAAGCCCCGGGCUUAACCUGGGAACUGCAUUUGAUACUGGCAGACUAGAGUAUGAUAGAGGGGGGUAGAAUUCCUGGUGUAGCGGUGAAAUGCGUAGAUAUCAGGAGGAAUACCAGUGGCGAAGGCGGCCCCCUGGAUCAAUACUGACGCUGAGGUACGAAAGCGUGGGGAGCAAACAGGAUUAGAAACCCUAGUAGUCC